Homo sapiens (human) is the source of this 740-nucleotide long non-coding RNA. Lineage: Eukaryota; Metazoa; Chordata; Mammalia; Primates; Hominidae. The record is from Ensembl.
UUUUUUUUUGGUCACAGGUAUUACUGUCUUACAGUGUGAAUACCCCAUGAAAACGUAGAACUCUUUGCAACUUAUGUCACACCUGUAUCUUCAAGGGCAAGGAUUAUUUGUUGCUAUAGUUUUUAUGUCACUAAAGUACCUUUUAGUGUCAUAUACAUAGUAGAUAACACUGGAUAAUAAUAAUAAAAAAGACUAAGAAUGCUAAAGUAGUCUAGGAAUUCCUAAAUCUUAAUAAAAACUGAGAAAUAAAGUUGUGAUACUAUAUAACACUUAAGGCACGAGUAAUUUUUUUUUCACCGUUUCCCCUCCAUGGCUAUGAAGGAACUGGGAGAAGGAUGCUCCUUUCAUUAAUUAAAAUUCUUCACUUUGAAAAUUUAAGUUUAUUAGGGAAGGAAGGAAGAAAAAUAUGAAGAUGUAAGUAUACAUACCUUGGAGUAAGUAUUUCCUUAUAUUGGAGUUUCUCUAAUUUAGCUGGGGCUACUAAUGACAUGGGAAUCACAAUGUUAUCUAUGUCAUAAGAGCUCUCACUUCUCAAUCUCCGUCGUGCAGUAUUCUGCAAAACAGGAUUACAGUAGAUUUACAGUACUGUCUAGUUACUUGUAAUGAUACCCUCCUUUCAUCAGUUAUGUAAAUAUGGCAGUACACGUUACAUAAUUUUUGUAAAUACAUUGUUAUAAAGUCUGACUAAAAAAUGUUAAGAAAACCAAAAAAUAAAACAUUUUUCUAUCUUUUGUAAAUCA